Molecule: transfer RNA, 91 nt
Filed under: Streptococcus sp. WM07
Lineage: Bacteria; Bacillati; Bacillota; Bacilli; Lactobacillales; Streptococcaceae
Description: tRNA-Ser
Rfam family: tRNA
About the family: Transfer RNA (tRNA) molecules are approximately 80 nucleotides in length. Their secondary structure includes four short double-helical elements and three loops (D, anti-codon, and T loops). Further hydrogen bonds mediate the characteristic L-shaped molecular structure. tRNAs have two regions of fundamental functional importance: the anti-codon, which is responsible for specific mRNA codon recognition, and the 3' end, to which the tRNAs corresponding amino acid is attached (by aminoacyl-tRNA synthetases). tRNAs cope with the degeneracy of the genetic code in two manners: having more than one tRNA (with a specific anti-codon) for a particular amino acid; and 'wobble' base-pairing, i.e. permitting non-standard base-pairing at the 3rd anti-codon position.
Source: RNAcentral
GGAGAAUUACUCAAGAGGCUGAAGAGGACGGUUUGCUAAAUCGUUAGGUCGGGUAACCGGCGCGGGGGUUCGAAUCCCCCAUUCUCCGUCA